This 103-nucleotide small nuclear RNA is filed under the name Jaculus jaculus (lesser Egyptian jerboa). Lineage: Eukaryota; Metazoa; Chordata; Mammalia; Rodentia; Dipodidae. The record is from RNAcentral.
GUGCUUGCUUUGGCAGCACAUAUACUAAAAUUGGAAUGAUACAGAGAUUAGCAUGGCCCUGCACAAGGAUGGCACGCAAAUUCGUGAAGCAUUCCAUAUUUUU